GACGAACGCUGGCGGCGUGCUUAACACAUGCAAGUCGAACGGAAAGGCCCUGCUUUUGUGGGGUGCUCGAGUGGCGAACGGGUGAGUAACACGUGAGUAACCUGCCCUUGACUUUGGGAUAACUUCAGGAAACUGGGGCUAAUACCGGAUAGGAGCUCCUGCUGCAUGGUGGGGGUUGGAAAGUUUCGGCGGUUGGGGAUGGACUCGCGGCUUAUCAGCUUGUUGGUGGGGUAGUGGCUUACCAAGGCUUUGAAGGGUAGCCGGCCUGAGAGGGUGACCAGCCACAUGGGGACUGAGAUACGGCCCAGACUCCUACGGGAGGCAGCAGUGGGGAAUAUUGCACAAUGGGCGGAAGCCUGAUGCAGCAACGCCGCGUGCGGGAUGACGGCCUUCGGGUUGUAAACCGCUUUCGCCUGUAACGAGGCGUGAGUGACGGUAAUGGGUAAAGAAGCACCGGCUAACUACGUG
RNAcentral lists this ribosomal RNA (468 nucleotides) under uncultured bacterium. RNAcentral's name for it is "partial 16S ribosomal RNA". It matches the Rfam family "Bacterial small subunit ribosomal RNA", at positions 28 to 507 of the family's 1533-position model. The record is from RNAcentral.